CGGCAGAACCUGCCUUGUUCUCCUCUUAGUGGUAAAGUGAGAUCUUCAGUUAACGCUGUUCAGUGAUUGGUUCCUAUAUAUCAAAGGCGAUACUAUAUCCUCUGCGUUUACUUUUUUACUUUCUCUGUUUUGUUUUGUUUUCUGGUAGAUCCUUUAAGAGAGUGUCUUUUUCUGUUUUUCUUUUUAAUCUGGUCAAGUGUCAUGUGUAUAUAAAACCGUGAAUGUAUAUAUGAA
Molecule: non-coding RNA, 234 nt
Organism: Camelina sativa (false flax)
Lineage: Eukaryota; Viridiplantae; Streptophyta; Magnoliopsida; Brassicales; Brassicaceae
Source: RefSeq, a predicted model, not a curated record